UAGUACUCAUAUAAUAUAUAUUAUCUGUCUUUUAACAUUUUUCGUACACGUAAAACGAGGUGAAUUCAAGAUCUGAAGUUCUGUUUAUAGUUUGGGAUUUUUCUUUCUUGAAGUUAUUUUUAUUUCGUGUUUUAUUACGAUUUUGUUUACUGUCUUUUUUGUCCUGAGCCGAGGGUCUAUCGGAAACAAUCAGUGGUAUGGACUGCGUAUACUGUACCCUCCCAGACCUCACUAUGUGAGAAUACACUGAGUAUAUUGUUGUUGUACGUGCUAGCUAUAACUGAAUUUUUUAAGACAAACACAGUGUUUAGACACUGCUUGUUUUUGUUGUUGUCGUCGUCUUUUUUAUCUGUUUUGAGCCGAGGGUCUAUCGGCAAUAGUCUCGCCUUCUUUUUACGGAAAAGGUAAGGUCAGCCUACACACGACCAUCCUCAGACCCCACUUAUGAUUUACAUCGGAUACGUUGUUAUUGUUUUACAAUGUUUAGACAAAAUCUACUGUGUUCUACCGAACUCGUACUAUGGUUGAGAUCUUAUAAUUCAGUUUUAUCAUAUUAUCUGUCUUUUAAAGUUUUUGCACGUUUAGUAAGAAAUAUUUGAAAGCUUUAUUGGGAGAUGGAGUUCUUGUGUUACGUGUUCAACCAAACUCAAUAUCGUUUAUAUAAUGGGCUUAAUACUAAAAUCUUUGAAAAUUGAAUCCAUUAAAUUUAAAUCUUAAAUUCGCGUCUCGAUAGUAUUAAAGGGUACUAUUUGUUUAAAUUACCCUGCAUCUCCCCCUUAAAGGUCAUAUAACUUUAUUAACGUAUACUCCCUCCGUCCCAUUUUAUUCAUUCCAAAUUUUUUAAUUUGGUGUCCCAUUUUACUUGUUCUUUUUUACUUAUCAAGAUAAGAUAAAUUUUUUUUUUUUUUCAUAUUUUACCCUUUGCAUUAAUUACUUUUUUUUUUUUUUUAAAUUAAAAUGUAAACAUCAUUUAAUAGGGGUACUACGAUAAACCAGCCAUAUUAUUUAUUAUUUUUCUUAAUAGCUGUGUCAUUCCAAUUUAGGACGAGUAAAAUGGGACGGAGGGAGUAGUUGUUAAUAUUAUUUGAUUGAUCUUGAUGAAAUUAUGAUGUUUUUUGAGUUUUUUCUUUUAAUACAAAUUUGUUUUGUGACCAUAUGACUUUUAACCUACCAGUAGGGGACAAACCUAGUGGGAUAAGUUCACUUCAAAAAGUGAAAAUUUACUUACUCUAGUGAGUUAGUUAUGCAACUAAUAAAUGAUUUAUUUGCUUAAGUAAUCACCCAAAAGUGAGAAAAAAGUUGUGAAUGAAAUCCUUCAAUGUGUCAUCAAGCCACAACUCCAUAAUGGUCUUUGCUUUUAACAUCACUAAACCAUCAACCAACUCCCCCUCCCCCACUCCCUCCCCAUCCCCAUGNNNNNNNNNNNNNNNNNNNNNNNNNNNNNNNNNNNCACCCCCACCCCGACCCCCAAAGUCCCACUUACCAAAAAAAGGGGAAAAAAGAUCUAAUAUAUACCAAAACUUUGGUGAAAUUGCCUGUAAUAUAUCUGAACUUUGCUUGGGGGGUCCUAUAACGCUUCUGAAUUAUUUGUUAGUGUAUUUUAGUGACAUUUAUAAGCUAAUAAAAAAUAAAAUAUGAUAGUAAAUUUUUAAAAAAGAGUCUAUUGCAAAUAAAUGUAAGUAAAAUACGCUAAUAAAUAGUAUAGAAGGGUCAUAACACCCCCACAAAGUUCGGGAGAGGAGGGUUCUAUACAAUAAAUUUUGUCAAAAUUAAGAUACAUUUGAGACCAUUUUCCAAAAAAAUAAAAAGUAAAGAGGAGAAAAUUAAAAGUUUUUUUCUUUGGUUGCCUUGCCCCUAUUCUAAGGUUAGUGUUUGGGGCCAGAAUGUUUGUUUGUAUUGUUUUUAAUAAUAGAGGUGUAGGCCAAUUUGUAUGUAUUUCGAUUAUUUUAUUGAAUCUGUUUUUAGUAUGGGCCAAAAAUCUUUUUGUCUUUAUUAAACUUCAUGUUUAAUUAUAUACGACACGUCAUAUAAAAUGAAAUAUAUGAAUACUGCUUUUACUUUUCAAUAUUCUUAGUCAUAAAUAUAUCAUGACAUGUUAUAAGAUCGUGAGUUUUAAGGGUGUUUUUACAUAUUAUGCAUAUGAAUUCUUUAUUUUUUUUAUAGAUUUUGUGUACAGUCAAAUACCGUCAUAAAAAAUGAAACAAAUGAAUACCAUUUUUAUUUUGUAGUAUAUUUUUAUAUCCAUACAAAUAUUGUGACAUAUUAUA
This 2267-nucleotide long non-coding RNA is filed under the name Capsicum annuum. RNAcentral's name for it is "long non-coding RNA (CANN_LNC007547)". The record is from RNAcentral. Lineage: Eukaryota; Viridiplantae; Streptophyta; Magnoliopsida; Solanales; Solanaceae.